AGGCCACAUCGAACAACGCAGGAAAAAUCUUUAGUAGAUCGUAGGACAAGCCUACUCUCAUACUUACAAUACCCGGUUGC
Toxoplasma gondii ME49 is the source of this 80-nucleotide ribosomal RNA. The record is from RefSeq and is a predicted model, not a curated record. NCBI's taxonomy places the organism in Eukaryota, Apicomplexa, Conoidasida, Eucoccidiorida, Sarcocystidae.